UCGUGGCGUGAGUCGUCUGCUUAAUUGCGAUAACGAGCGAGACUCCCACUGUUAAAUAGUCAAAGGUUCACUUCGACCUUAUGACUUCUUAACUGGAUCCGGGCCAUCAAGGUCCAAGAAAUGGAGCAAUAACA
This 134-nucleotide ribosomal RNA is filed under the name uncultured eukaryote. RNAcentral describes it as "partial 18S ribosomal RNA". It matches the Rfam family "Eukaryotic small subunit ribosomal RNA", at positions 1299 to 1458 of the family's 1831-position model. The record is from RNAcentral.